GACAUCAAAGCCUUUCGCGAGGCACCAUUUGAAGCAAUUCGCAACAACACCAACCUGUGUGGCAAUGCAACUGGUUUGGAGGCUUGUUCUGCAAACAAAACUGUGCACAAGAAGGGCCCCAAAGUUGUCUUUUUGACAGUACUUUCUCUGCUGGGUAGUUUGUUGGGCCUGAUUGUAGGUUUUCUUAUCCUUUUCCGAAGCAGAAGAAAGAAAAGUUUAGUGAAAACACCACAAAGAGAUGUUACCGCGAGAUGGGGAUCUGCGCUACGAGGAUUAUAUUUUAAAAUUUAUUUUUGAUAUUAACAUAUUAAAAUGAUUUAAAUAUAAAAUUAAAAAAAUAAAAUAAAAAUUAUUUUCUUAAAAAAAAUUAAAUGUAAUAAUCUUCAUCUUUUAGUAAUCAGGAGUCAUGGAAUGGUGGGGUGCAAGCUAGCUAUUAUUAAUUGUAAAGUUCGGAUUUCACGUCAUAGCUAGAUAAAACCUAAAAUAAUUAGGGUAAUUAAGGGAGAGAUAGAGUUAGAUUUGUUGUUUAACACAAGCAAUGAAAAACUAGGAGAAAAAACACGAAAAAAGAAUAUAUAAAAAAAAUCCUUGAAGGAUGAUCACCCAAUUUCGUAUUUGUUUUAAUCAUGGAAUAUAAUAAUCUUAUUAAAUAAGCACAUAAUGGUGCAAAAUAAUAUAUCUCUUGUAUUUCAUAUAUAUAAAAAAAUCAUCCGAGAAUGGAUCCAUAGCUGAAACCCCAGCAUAAAUAUUCUAAGAAUUUUAAAAUUACUAUUCUUUGCCUUGCACCAGGAUUUGAAAUUGCAUUCCAAAUGGCAUUUUUAAAUAAUUUGAAAAAAAAAUUUGCUUAUUUUUUUUUAAUCGUUUAGAAAUGCUGAUAUAAAAAAUAAUUUUUUAAAAAUAAAAAUAUAUAUUAUUUUGAUGCAUUUCCGAGUAAAAAACAAUUUGUAAAAUAAUUGCUACGACACUUUCCAACCCCCCUAAUAGUUAAAAAAAAGAAAUAUAAUAAGAUUUGUUACAAGUUAAAAUAUUCAAAGAACAAGAAAAAUUAGAAGAUAUAAAAAAUAUUUAGUUUUUAUUUAUAUAUUUCAAAAACUUAUCACAACCCUUUAUAUGUCAAAAAUAUUUAGUUUUUAUUUAUAUAUGUCAAAAACUGAUUUUAGGAUUACGACUAGUUUUCGCGGAUCAUGUUAAACAGAGGCUAGUUUAUAGAGAGAGAUGAAUUUGUACAAACAAAAUAAAAUCAGUUCAAAGAAGUGCCAAGAACGCUCCUAAUCUCCUUUCUAACCAUCCGCAAAUUAACGACAUGAAUUUCGUGGGAAACAUCACUAAUGCUGAAACCCAAAGACAUGCAAUCAUGAAUGGAAGACCAUAGUAUUCUACACCUCUUCAGACGCAACUGUCUACAUAGCAAAAACAUUAAUGAUUAACCACGUGAAUGAAUUAAGACAUCCAAUUAAGAAUGGAAGACAUCCAAUUAAGACGCAACUGUCCAUCUUCUUAAGAAAUUUUCGAUCAUGACCAAGACAAAUGAAUUCCUGCACAAAGGGUAAUUAAGGGAGAGAUAGAGUUAGAUUUGUUGUUUAACACAAGCAAUGAAUAACUAGGAGAAAACACAAGAAAAUAAAUAAUAUAAAAAUAGUUGAAGGAUGAUCACCCAAUGCAGAGUCGUAUUUUUUUUAAUCAUGGAAUAUAAUAAUUUUAUUAAGCACAUAAUGGUGCAAAAUAAUAUAUAUCUUGUAUUUCAUAAAAAAAAAAAAAAUCAUCAGAAUGGGUCCAUAGCUGAAACCCCAACACGAGUAUUCUAAUAAUAGUGAAAAAUACUGCAUUAAUUUCCCUUCUAGAAUGACAAUUUAAAUUAGUCUAAACGUAUAACUAUUUGCUUUGAUGGAAUCGAAGUUCAAGUUGUCUGGAUGCAUAUACAUAUUCUUUUCCACAUGGUACCAUUUUCUUUAUUCCAAUGAUUUUUUUUACUUUGUUCCCUUUACCUGAAUGUUUACAGAAAUACUUAUCUUUACCUGGACGGCAAAUAAUAUGCCCUCGCGAAGACGGCACCCUGACUUGGUUGCCUUACAUGUUAAGAGAUCGUUUGAUUACUUCUGUAUAUUACCGCCAAAUUGAUAUUGCAUUUUCUGUGAGAUAUUUGCUUGUUUUACAAAAAUAUUUGUGUUUUUUAGGUACUAGUAAUCUAUAUAAUCCAAAAUUACUAUUCGUUGCCUUGCACUAGAGGUUUGAAAUUGCAUCCCAAAUAGUAUUUCUAAUUAAUUUGAGAAACAAAUUUGCUUAAUUUUUUUUAAUGAUUUUUAAUCGUUUAGAAGUAUUCCUAACAAAAUUAAUUUUUUUAAAAUAAAAAUAUAUAUUAUUCUAAUGUAUUUCCGAGUAAAAACACUUUAUAAAACAACCGUUAUAAUACUUUCAUACACCCCCUAAUAGUCAAGAAAAGAAAUAUAAUAAGAUUUGUACAAGAAUAUUUAGAAGAUAUAAAAAAUAUUUAGUGUUUAUUUAUACAUGUUAAAAACUUAUUACAACCAUUUAUAUAAUAAAUGUUUUUUUAUAUUUUAUUUUAAUGCAUUUCCGAGUAAAAACACUUUGUAAAACAAACCGUUAUAAUACUUUCAAACACCCCCUAAUAGUCAAGAAAAGAAAUAUAAUAAGAUUUGUACAAGAAUAAUUAGAAAAUAUAAAAAAUAUUCAGUUUUUAUUUAUACAUGUUAAAAACUUAUUACAACCCCUUAUAUAGAAAAUGUUUUUGUUUUAAAAAACUAUUAUUACUAAAAAGAAAAAAAAACUAUUUUCUUUAAAUAGAAAAAUUAUAAGAGCCUAAUAAUAUUGAAUAAAAAAACUAAAAUAAAUUCUAAAUUAGAAAAUUAAAAAUUAAAAAAAAAAACUUAUUUGAUGUCAACUAGUGCAUUAAGAAAUUUUUUUAAAUGAAUCCUAAGAUUUAAACUCAAAGGAUAAAAAAGAAAAGGGAAUAAACAUCAUUAAUCACCAGAUCUUCCACCGUGAUUCAGGGAUUUAAGGAUGUCCUUGUUUUGCGUGGACAAACCACAAAUUAUCCCCAUCAAUUUCUUUAGUUGAAUUGAUUUGAUUGAUCGAAAUAAACCGACAAAAAAAGUGAAAAGGAUUUAGCAAUAGGUUCCGAGUUAUAGUACUGGGACUAUUCAAUCUUCUUACUUUGACAUAGUCUACAAACCUCUCAAGACGCAAUUAGGUUGAACGACUAAGAGGGUGUUUGGGAGUGUGGUAGCGGUUGCUUUUCAAAUAGCUUUUCGUGCCAAAAAGUAUGCCAAUAAUAUUUUUUUCAUUUUUUUAAAAUCAUUUUUGACAUCAGCACAUCAAAACGAUCCAAAAAGUACAAACCGCAUUCAAUUUUAACAAAAAAUAAAAAUAAAAUUUUUUUGAAUUUUUUCAAAAAGCCGGUUUGGCCGCAAUGCCAAACAGGCACUAAAGGUUGAAUAUACGAAGAAAAGAAAAUAUCAACACAAGAAAUAUUAAAAGCAUAUAAAAUUUUAUCAAGCACCAUAAAAAUUUUCAUAGGAUUUAUAAUAGUACAAGAUUUGCAAAAAUAAAGUCAUGGGAACAUCAUAACUUUGGUGUGAUUAGUUUAAUUUGUCAUGGCAGCUAUUUUUUAUAAAAAAAAAAAUGAUUUUUUUUUUAACUUAUUUAUGGAAUUCUUUUUUUCCACAUGUCAAUGCAUCUUGAUCAAAAAAACAAACUGAUCGGUCACUGUUACCUAAUCUUCCAUUAUCAGCUAGCUGGAUUGAUUUCAUUUAUCGAAAUGAACCAACAAGAGAAGUGAAAAUGAAUUAAGAAUAGUACUGGGACGCCAUUGAAUAUUCAAUCUUCUUACUUGUCCCUGUCCAAAAGGAACGUAUCACUCGGUACAAACUUCCCAUAGUCUACACCUCUCAAGACGCAAUUAAGUUUUCUGCCUUUUGUUUGGGUUUAUAUUUUGAAAGAGCACACUUAGUGAAAAUAAUUAGCAAAGUAGCGCAAACUUAAGAUGUGCUUUUGAUAUUUAAUGAGUGGCGUUGUUCUAAUCGACGUAACCUCGUCAUAAAAGGAGUUUUUCUUCCAUGACUUCAAGUUACCAUGACUCUGGUCAAUUUUAUUAUUAUUAUUUUUUUUUUUUGUAAAAUGAGUGUUGGAUCCUUUUUUCUACCGAGUGUUUGCUUGUUUGAGUGUAUGAUAAAAGUUAUUUAAUGAGUUGGGUUGUUCUAAUUAAGGUAACCUCGGUAUUCUGUAGUCAGGGCCACUUUUAUGACAAGGACAAAGAAAGCCCGCACAGCACAUAUAAUUGUGGGUCACCUUGAGAUUUUUAAAUUGAAUUUUAAAAUUAUAAUAAUUAUUAUUUUUAUAUAUAUUGACUUGGACCCACGUUAAUCCUCCUUGCAUAUGAUUUGGUCCGAAGCAUAUAUAUACGCAUGCAGGGCAAAUCAUUUUAUACAUCCUUUUUAAGAAAGUAAACCACCAAGGCCAUGGCUUCCUACAUCUUUCUCUUUUCCACACCUUUUUUGGUUUUUUCCUUACUUGCUUAUGCUUCCUUCUUUGCUUCUUUUGCUAACUCGGCUAGUACUGGAGCUGCUGAAGUAGCAAAUGGAAGGAAGGAAGCGGAAGCUCUUCUAGAAUGGAAAGUCACUCUUGACAACCAAAGCCAGUCUCUCCUGUCUUCUUGGGUUGGAGACAGCCCUUGCAACUGGUUCGGAAUCAGUUGCGACAAGUCUGGUAGUGUUACCAACAUAAGCCUGCCUGAUUCUAGUUUGAGAGGUACCCUAAAUAGUCUCAUAUUCUCUUCCUUUCCUAACUUGAUUGAGCUUAUCAUUCGCAACAACUCGCUCUAUGGGACCAUUCCUUCACAUAUAGGUAACCUUUCUAACCUCUCCAUCCUUGACUUGUCUUACAAUAGCAUUUCUGGCAACAUUCCACUAGAAAUUGAAAAUUUAGAAUCUCUCACUAUUUUAGCUUUGAACUCUAAUAUACUAACCGGUAGAAUACCGAUAUCUUUAAAAAAUUUAAAAAGCUUAUCUGAAUUUUACUUUUGGAAGAACUAUCUUUCUGGUUCCAUUACUUUUAUCGAAAACUUGACGAGAUCUCUCACCUAUUUAGAUUUAUCAUCUAAUAAACUUAGUGGUGCUAUUCCUACGUCCAUAGGAAACUUAAGCAAAUUGUCUCAUCUUUACCUUUACGGCAACGAACUCUCUGGUUUCAUACCUAGGGAAGUAGGAAUGCUUGAACAUCUAUCUGCCCUUCAGUUGCUCUUUAAUUAUCUAACCGGUCCAAUCCCUGCUUCCAUAGGAAACAUGAGAUCUCUCACCAGUUUACUUUUGUCAUAUAAUUAUCUAAUCGGUCCAAUACCAGCAUCUUUAGGAAACCUGACUACCCUUGACUUGUCAUUUAAUAAUAUAAUUGGUCUCAUUCCUCCAUAAUUGAAACCUUACACAUUUGUAUUCGUUACAAGUAUAUUCUAAUAGAUUGUCUGGUAAUCUUCCACGAGAUGUGUGCCUUGGUGGAUUACUUUUAUAUUUUUCAGCGUUUGAAAAUUAUUUCACGGGACCUAUCCCAAAAAGCUUGAGAAAUUGCAGCAGCUUGUUGAGACUCAGACUUGAGAGAAACCAACUUAGUGGAAACAUAUCUGAAGCUUUUGGCACACAUCCUCAUUUGUACUACAUGGAUUUGAGUGAUAAUGAUUUGCACGGUGAACUUUCAUUGAAAUGCGAGCAGUUUAACAAUCUAACCGCCUUCAGAAUUUCUGGAAACAAAAUAUCUGGAGAGAUACCAGCUGCUCUUGGAAAGGCAACUCAUCUACAAGCUCUUGACCUCUCGUCAAAUCAACUGGCUGGGAGAAUUCCCAAAGAAUUGGGAAAUUUGAAGUUGAUUGAACUUGCACUCAACGAUAACAAACUUUCAGGUGAUAUUCCUUUCGAUGUCGCAUCGCUAUCUGAUCUCGAAAGGCUUGUCCUGGCUGCGAACAAUUUUAGUGCAACACUUCUUAAACAGCUUGGCAAGUGCUCAAAAUUGAUAUUCUUGAAUAUCAUCAAGAAUAGAUUGACAGGGAGUAUUCCUGCUGAGAUGGGGUCUUUACAGUCACUUCAAAGUCUUGAUCUCAGUUGGAAUUCCCUCAUGGGAGGUAUAGCACCGGAGCUUGGACAGAUGCAGCUGCUAGAGGUAUUAAACCUCUCCCAUCAUAUGCUGUCUGGUCUAAUUCCAACCAGUUUUAGUAGACUGGUAAGUCUCACUGAAGUGGAUGUAUCCUAUAACAAGCUAGAGGGCCCCAUUCCUGACUUCAAAGCCUUUCGCGAGGCACCAUUUGAAGCAAUUCGCAACAACACCAACCUUUACUGUAGCAAUGCUGCUCGUUGGGAGGCUUGUGGACGUCGCAUGAAAAACAAAACUGUGCACAAGAAAGGCCCCAAAGUUGUCUUUUUUACUGUAUUUUCUUAUCUGCUGGGUAGUUUGUUUGGCCUAAUUGUAGGUUUUCUUAUCUUUUUCCAAAGCAGAAGAAAGAAAAGGUUAGUGGAAACACCACAAAGAGAUGUUACCGCGAGAUGGUGCCCUGGUGGGGAUCUGCGCUACGAGGACAUCAUUGAGGCUACUGAGGAAUUCGACUCCAAAUAUUGCAUUGGUACUGGAGGGUAUGGAGUUGUAUACAAAGCUGUACUUCCAUCAGAACAAGUCCUUGCCGUGAAGAAAUUCCACCAAACACCAGAAGUUGAGAUGAGCAGCUUGAAAGCUUUUAGAAGCGAGAUUGAUGUCUUAAUGGGUAUACGGCAUCGAAAUAUUGUGAAGCUGUAAAGGAGCUUGCGGACGGUGUGACACAUGUUGCAAAACUGGCGUUUGCUUGCUUGCAGACCGAUCCUCACUAUCGGCCAACAAUGCGACAGGUUUCUACAAAGCUUACAACUCGGUGGCCUCCAUUGCCAAAGCUAUUCUCCACGAUGGAAUUGGAAGAUAUAAUGGUUUACAGAAAUAUUAUUGGCUGAAUUUUUACAGUAUACUUGGGCGUUUGUGAAAAGCAACUUGUUUGGCAUCAUUUUAAAUGAACUUGGUGAAUGUCAUGAAUCAUGUAAUUUAUUGCCUUCAUUUGUAUCAAUUGCCUACAUAAUUUUUUUGGGAGAGUAAUAAACAAUCCAAAUUCCAACACAAAGACCGUACAAUAAUGAUGAACAAAAUUUCCACAAUCAAAUCAAACCAAACUCGUCCUAAAAGAUCAAAUAACGUCAUUUGUCACGUUGAAAUUCCAUACUUAUUCCUCCGGGUCUAAAGAGGGCUUCCCUCUUGGAAAGAAACAAAUAAGUAAUACCUAACACAAAUCUUUAAAUCGCACGUUGCAAAAACCUCGUAUUAAAAAUAGGAGAUAGCCAUCCUCUAAUCUCAAAUCUCUACCCCCUCGAACUUUUCCAGGUUUUGAAUCUAAAAAACCUCGUAUUAAAAAUUCAAAACUGCAAGGUCUUAACUCUUGAAUAGAUCGUCCCCCUAUUCUUCCCAGCCCUGUGAUAAGGAAUGCUGCUUCUGUUCAAAAACAAUUUUCAGAAUUGUAGGCAUAAUUUUCUCUCAAGGUUCGGGUUAAUUUUGUACCAGGAAGGCCAACGGGCCUUGGCAUCAAAACAUUUUGUAAUUUUCAACAGUUUUCAAGGGUUUACGCGAUUAUGAUGAAUUAUAAGUGGGAUUUCCUGAAUUGAGACAAGACCAAACCUACAGCCAGAAAAAGUCUUUGUUUACCAAACAAAAACAAUUCACAUGUAUCUUUCCUCUGGGCUUCAAAAAAUCUAAUAGAUCUUGUCUUAUGGUAGGCUGCUUCAGUUCCCUUAUGAAACUUUUAUUAUUGGGCUAGCCAUACUCUUUAUAUAUUUCUAGCAAUUCACAUGACUUCAUCAAAUGAUACAAGUCUUGGAUAAGAAUCUACAACAACACUAGAACAUCCUCGUUGACAAUCCGUGCUUCUCUGCAAAAAUCCAUUAGUAUCUUUCCAAGAUCAUGAAACUCCAAAACAAAGAACAUCCAAAACCCUUUGCAAACUCCAACAGAACCCUAAUUGAAUAUAACAGCUGAAAACAUCCCAGUGAAGUGCUUGCGAUUCAAAAAAUGAAGUCUAAUAAUGGACUACUUGAAGCAAAGCAGAAGUUAUGAGACACUUAUGAUGCGUCUGUUGGGGAUAAAAAGGCUGUUUCCGUAGAAAGCAUUUUUCAAGACGAAUAGGAACGUUGUGGCAGUUGAUUUGAAACAUAGGAAUUGGAAGGAUCAAAAUUCAGAAUGUCUGAAAAGCAAUGAUACUUGAUAUGAAUCCAGGUGGUGUGGUUAAGGUCGGGGUGAUUUGUAUGGCGAGAGAGGAGAUAUUGGAGAAUGUAAUGGGAGCACUAAAUGGUGUUGUGGAGAUUCCCAUGAAGUGGACAGGGUUGCAGCCUCUAAUUUCCACUUAAAGUUUGUGGAUUCAAUGCGUUGCUGAUUUUUCAAGCAAAGACUGAUUGGGAGGGGAACUUUGAAAUAGUUAAACGGAAUGAGGAAAUGGAGGCAGAGGAAGAGGAAGAGGAAGGUGAGAAAUGAAAUGAAAGUAAGAAAGAUGGGAAGUGUGUCAAAAGGAAGAGGAAGAUGAAGAUGAGAAAAGAGAUGAAAGUAAGAAAGAUGGGUAGUGUGUCAAAAGGAAGAGCGUUCAUGAGUACUAGUAAUAUUCAUGAGCUUAUAUUAGAUGGUAAUGACAUGGAUGUCGAGAAAGGAGAGAAAGUAAGCAAGAAGAAGAAAAUGAUUUUCAUAUUUAGAGUAGGGAUUGAGAAGGGAAAUCUGUUCUCUAUACUAUCUUGACAUCAUUGAUAAUAAUCUACAUGAGAUUUACUCCUGCACUUCAACGCAGCCACAUAAGCACAUGCCCAAACUGAAACAUCUCAUUUAGUUUUCGAGCACCAGGCUAAGUCCAUUUCCAUGAAAAUGAUAGAGGAUGUACGUGUGCGCUUCUAAUUCGAAACAAAAAGAAAAUAUGUUGAAAAAUCAAACAUUUGAAAACUCACAAAAGAUGGAGCAGGCUGCUUCUCAAACAGCAGAACAUGUUUUAUAACACUACAAGGCAAUCAUCCAAUAGCAAACAAAAAUCAAUUAAAUUUGGAGGCAAUAGACCAAAACCUCGUUCAAAUAAAAUUGACAGAUGAAUCAUAUAGCAGUCAAGGGAAAAUAUAAUUGAUAAAAUAAAGGUGAUUUUCUGCUUGAAUUGUGUCAGUGACUAACUUCAGUUGAAGAUUUUAAAGAGGGCAUCUGGAUAUGGGGAUUACUCUUCCUAUAUGGCUACUUGCUGAAUUACUGGAAUAGUAGUGAGUUUCUUGACAGGAAACCAGCCAGAAAAUCAAAUAUAACAGAGAUCAAACACAAAAUUUAGGGGAGUAGUCGAUGUAUCAGCAGGGAGAACCAAGCAUUUCCAGACAAAUGCAAAGUCUUUCAUUAUGGCAUUUGAUGCUUUUGUGGUCUCAAGCAUGAUCCACCUGGUGAUCCCAGAAGUUGUAAAGGCCAACUCAAAACUGUUGAUGUGAGCCAUCAGAGCAAUAAAAUUUCUUCAGCUUCUUUCUACAAUUUUAACAGCUCUUUUCCAUUUUUCUCAAGGUGUAAUUCCAGGAACACAAGGGACAGCGGGCUUGGGCUUCUUUAUUUUUUCAACCAGCACAGCUUGAGUUGUUAGAACUAUCCCAGCAAUUUGUCUGAAACUCUAGAAACUCUUUGAAGUGCACACCUAGAAACUCUACAAGGAUCUACCACCCCUGCAUUGAGAAGAUCUUCGUAUCUACCAGUCAUUGCAUUGUAACCAAUUCUCCAGUCACAAGAUCGAAUAUUCUCCACCACAACUGCUCCAUCAACCCCUGCAUUAGUUGCAAUUGUUUUUGCAGGUGCAAGAAGUGCCUGUAAUGCAUCAUUGGUACGUGUUACUACAUGGGAGAAGAAAUUUCAAGCGAAAAAAUUAGAAAAAAAAAUGUAUUUUCAAGUGAAAUAUUUAAAAAAAAAAACACAUCAUACACCACAAUAUCAAAUACAAAUAUAUAGAUGGUUAGUCAUAAACUUGAUUAUCUAAUUUAAAUCCUAUAUAAAAAAAGAAAUUUCUCUUAAAUGCAUUAAAUUAGAUAUAAUUAAUUCAAAUAUUAAAACCUGAUUAGAAAGAAAUUUAACUCUAAAGAGCAAGAAUUUGUACCCAAUAUCUCAUUUGAGACAUCAGUCUUGUGAUUACGUGUUCUAAAAGAGAGGGGAAGAAAUUGUAGUAAUUUAUGUUGGUGGUGGACACGCUCCAAAUUAACAAAUUGAAACUUAGCUUUGGGAUUAUUCUCCUUUAUCAUCCGAAAGUGACACAUCUACCAAACCAAUUAAUUUAAAAACACAACACACAAACCAUAAUAUUUAACUAACUUAAUGAUUAAAGCCGUAAACACAUAAUUAUAAAACCAUUCUAUUGUCGGAUGAUGAAAAAACACCAAGAGAAUGUCAAACCGUAAAUCACGAUUAAUAAAUAAUCAAACACGUCAUUAACAUUAAUCAUCAUAAACUAUGAGCUUGUUGUUUUAUUGAUCCCCACAGCACUAGCAAUGUCUCUCUUCCAAGUUUCCUUGUACUUGUUUCCUCGUCAUCUUGUAGCCAGGGUCACUUUUAUGAUAUGGACAGUGGAAGCCCGCACAACACGGACAAUUUGGGCCACCUUCACCUAUUAACAUCAACGUGUCAUUUUUAAAUUAAAUUUUUAAAUUAUAAUAAUAAUUAUUUUUUUAUUUAUUGACUUGCGUUGAUCUUUCUUCCAUAUAAUUUAGGCCUUCCUCUUGUUGAUUUUUUAGUCGAAUUUUGAAUCUAUAAUAAUAAUUAUUUUAAUUUAUAUAUUAACUCGGUCAUUUUAUGUUAACUCUUUUAAUCUGUGACUUGAGUUGUGUCCAGUCAACUUUCAAACCAGAUUUUAAAAUUAUAAUAAUAAUUUUUAUGAUAUGAUUUCCAUGUAAUGGUAGCUGUCCUGCGUUGAUUUUUGCUAACGAUUGUCUCCUUAAGCACAAGUUUAUCUGCUAACGAUAGUGAUUUAUGUACACAGAUAUCUGGACGGCAAAUAAUAUGCCCUCGCGAAGACGGCACCCUGACUUGGUUGCAUUGCAUGUUAAGAGAUCGUUUGAUUACUUCUGUAUAUUACCGCCAAAUUGGAAUUGCAUUUUCUAUGAGAUAUUUGCUUGUUUUGCCUUCGUGGCCUCACAGUUGUUUUACAAGAAAUAUUUGUGUUUUUAGGUACUAGUAAUCUAUAUAAUCCAAAAUUACUAUUCGUUGCCUUGCACUAGGGGUUUGAAAUUUUAUUCCUGUCAAAUAACUAAUUCAACCCAAAAGCUUAAGUUGUUAGGUAAGGUCCAAGAUAUAAUUUAUAUUAUUUUUUAACAUACCCCCUCAAGUGAAAGCCCUUUGAACUUGAAACUUGCACAUGUUCAUAUUACAUUGUGCUUAAUUUUAUCAAAUAAAUAGGGAUGAUGAGAUACGAACUCGUAACCGCUUAGUCAUUAAAGCUCUGAUACCAUGUCAAAGAACCAAUUCAACCCAAAAGUUUAAGUUGUUAGGUAAGGCCCAAGAUAUAAUUUAUAUUAUUCUCUAACAAUUCCCAAAGACAUUCCUAAAUAAUUUGAAAGCAAAUCAUUUAAAAGUGUUGAUACCAAAAAUAAUUUGUUAAAAAUAAAAAUAUAUAUUAUUUUGAUAUAUUUUUAAGUGAAAAAUACUUUGUAAAAUAAUCGCCACGACACUUUCAAAUACCCCCUAAUAGUCAAAAAACGAAAUAUAAUAAGAUUUGUUUCAAGUUAAAAUAUUCAAAGAAAAAGAAUAAUUAGAAGAUAUAAAAAAUAUUUAGUUUUUAUUUAUAUAUGUCAAAAACUUAUUACAACCCUUUAUAUAGAAAAACAAAAACAACUAUUAUUACUAAAAAGAAAAAAAAUAUAUUUUCUUUAAAUAGAAAAAUUAUAAAAGCUUAAUAAUAUUGAAUAAAAAACAAAAAAAAAUCUAAAUUAGAUAAGAAAAAAUUAAAAAAAAAAGUUAUUGAUGUCAACUAGUGCAUUAAUGUUUGAUAUGAAUGUUUGAUUAUUUUUUUAAGAAUUUUUUAUAUUGAUACAUCAAAUCAUCAGAAAAUAUUAAAAAAUAUUAAUUUAAUAUUUUUUUCAAAUCAAACAUAUUUUUAAAAUUCACCUAAAUAUAAUUUCAAACACAAAAAUUAAUAAUAUCAAUAUAACACAUGAGCAUGAUAAAUGGAAUGAUAUUAAUAACUAGUAUUAAAAUUGAAAAUAAAACUGUUUAAUAUAUUGAUUUCAUAACCAUUUCUGUACAUAGCUAUUAGAAGAAAAAUGUUUAAUUUUUGUAGUUGGGAUUUAGAAGAUUUGAGUUUUGAGUAGGCUAUAUAUACUAGUACUCAUGAACUCAGAAUAUAUAGAAGGUUUAUUUCCUUGGUUUGUGUUGAGGAUCCUCUGCCCUGAUCCACGGCCUUCCAUAUGUGCACUCUUUGAUCCUCAGUUAUAGAAGCUUAUUUAGCUAAUUCCUUUUAUUUCUCUUGUAAUUAACAUUUAUGUGUAGUUUUUACACAUUUCUGUGAGAAAUUAAACAUGGUAUAUUUAAUUAAACUGUCAAAGCGUAGAGCGAUUUAUCACAUUCCAAAAGAAAAGGGCAAUUUUAAUAAUUUGUUUUAAACUCAAAGGAUAGAAAAGAAAAGGGAAUAAACGUCAUUAAUCACCAGAUCUUCCACCGUGAUUCAGGGAUUAAAGGAUGUCCUUGUUUUACGUGGACAAACCACAAAUUAUCCCCAUCAAUUUUUUUGUUGAAUUGACUUGAUUGAUCGAAAUAAACCGACAAAAAAGGUGAAAAGGAUUAAGUUUAUGAAAAUAUUUUAAAACCCGGCAAACGACGAGGCCUAAAUUAAAAACUUUUUAUUAGGAUAAAUAAAGCCAGAUAACAACACACAGUAUCAAUGACUCGAAUCUUAGAAAGAGUGGUUUAUAUUGAAGAAUAAAAUUUCUGGAAAUAAAACAAACUGAUCGGCCACUGUUACCUAAUUUUUUAUUAUCAGCUAGCUGAAUUGAUUUGAUUUAUAAUAGUACCUGUUCAAAAUUAUGUGUCAAUUAGAGUACUGGGACGCCAUUGAAUAUUCAAUCUUCUUACAUGUACCUGUACAAACUAUAGGGUAUAUUUAUGUUUGUUAUUUGGUAAAUAUACUUAUAUUUCUUAAUUUGAAUUAUUAUGUAGGAUUAUGACAUUAAAAGUUAAUAUUUAUGCAUGAGUAUAAUUGAUGUAAAGUGUUUACAUUUAUUUUCUAAUGCUUAAAGGAUAUAAAAGGAUAAUUGCCUAAACCCCAUUGUAAAAACAAUUGUCAUACAAAAAUCCCAAAUAUCUAACUCUUAAUCCAUUAACUAAUUUUUCAUUUUCAAUAUAUAUAUAAAAUUAUUUUAAGGUUUUAAAAAUAUCAAUAAAUUUUACUUAAUAAGCUUAUAUGUCAAUAAUAUUAUAUUAAAAUAUUUAUAUUAUAUGUAUAGUUACAUUUUAUAAAACUAAUGUUCUAUAUAUAUAUUAGAUAAAUUUGAAAAAAAAAUAUUAAUAUUUUUUAUGAUAUAGAAAAAACAAUAAAAAUUGGUUUUUUAAUUUAUUUUUCUAAAAUGUAGGUUUCAAUAAAAUCAUUUUUAAAACCAGGUAAUGAGGCCUAAAUCAUUUUUUUUUUAUCAGGAUAUACAGAACCAAAUACCAACACACAACACCAGGGUCUCACAUCAUAGAUUUUUAGAAUGAGUGGUUUAUAUUGAAGAAUAAAAUUUCAGGAAAUAAAACAAAUUACAGAUCGGUCUAAAUUAAAAAUUUCCGGCUUGUCUCCUCAGUUGCUUUCAUUUGAAGUCAUGAAUACUCUGAUUUUUCAGGAUUACUUCUCAAUAUCUUACUUACCUGAAUUGAUCUUUUAGCAAAAGGAUUCUUUAUUUCUAACGAAGAUGCUGACUGGCUGGGUGGCUUCCUCUGCCUCCAACCCUCCACCUUUAAUUGAUCUAUCUUCCUCGAAAGGUGGCACGAGUUUCUUCCCAUGAUGAACUGACUUUUUUGUAACAUAAAAAAAAAUGAUGUUAAAACAAUGUCAAUAUAUUUUUAAUAAAGAAAAUUCAUGACUUAAUAUCAUAAAAAGAAAAUAAAAAUUUUGGUUGAUUUGGUUAAUUCAUUAAUUAUUUUAUUAUAUAUAUUUUUUCAAAAUGAUUGUAUUUUAACCUUUUUUUUAUAAAAUAAAAAGAUUUGAUUGACUUGAGUUAACUCAAGUUAACCCACCUGACUUGUGACUCGGUACUUGCCUCGAAUCGACUCCCGAGCCGAGUUUAAAAGCUUUGAGAAACAUCAUUAAGACCAGCUUCCUAAUUAAUAAAUAAAAUGUUGACCGGUGAAAUAAAUAAAAAAAUUAAUUUUUUUUUUUUAAAAAAAUAGCAAUUAAAAAAAUAAAAACCUAAUUUAAAAAAAAAUAAGAUGACAACCUAAAAUUUUUAAUUAAGGGGUAAAAUUAAAAAUAAAAAUCAAAUUAAUAAAAGAAUCCAAAACAAAAAAAAAUGAAGAGAUUGAGUACCAAAUUUGAAAAAAAAAUCAAGAUUAGGAUCCAAAGAUAAAAUUAAAAAUAAAUUAAGACUUGAUAAAAAAAAAAAUCAAAAUUAAUAUCGUCAAAUUUUUCAAAAUCAAAAUCCAUCUCCACCGAAUCUUACUCGAAAAUCUAUCAUUUCUUUCCCAUAUAUAUACGUAUGCGGGGCAAAUCAUGUUAUACAUCCUUUUUAAGAAAGUAAACCACCAAGGCCAUGGCUUCCCACAUCUUUCUCUUUUCCACACCUUUUUUGGUUUUUUCCUUACUUGCUUAUGCUUCCUUCUUUGCUUCUUUUGCUUACUCGGCUAGUACUGGAGCUGCUGAAGUAGCAAAUGGAAGGAAGGAAGCGGAAGCUCUUCUAGAAUGGAAAGUCACUCUUGACAACCAAAGCCAGUCUCUCCUGUCUUCUUGGGCUGGAGACAGCCCUUGCAACUGGUUCGGAAUCAGUUGCGUCAAGUCUGGUAGUGUCAGCAACAUAAGUCUGCCCAGUUCUAGUUUGAGAGGUACGCUUAAUAGUCUCAGAUUCUCUUCCUUUCCUAACUUGAUUGAGCUUAGCCUUCCCAACAACUCGCUCUAUGGGUCCAUUCCUUCACAUAUAGGUAACCUUUCUAAUUUCUCCAUCCUUGACUUGUCUUACAAUAGCAUUUCUGGCAACAUUCCACCAGAAAUUGGAAAUUUAGUAUUUCUCACUAUUUUAGAUUUGUCCUCUAAUAAACUAACCGGUAAAAUACCGAAAUGUUUAGAAAAUUUAAAAAGCUUAUAUUCUCUUAACCUUUUGAAUAACAGGUUUUUUGGUCCAAUUACUUUUAUCAGAAACCUGACAAGAUCUCUUACUAUUUUAUCUUUGGCGUCUAAUAAACUAACCGGUACAAUACCGGCAUCUCUAGACAAUUUAGAAUCUCUCACUAUUUUAGCUUUGUCAUGUAAUAAACUAACUGGUAUAAUACCAAUAUCUUUAGGAAAUUUAAGAAGUUUAUCUGAACUUUAUCUUUGGAAUAAUAGUUUUUCUGGUCCCAUUAUUUUUAUCGGAAACCUGACGAGAUCUCUCACCUUUUUAAAUUUGUCAUUUAAUAAACUAACUGGUACAAUACCGGUAUCUUUAGGAAAUUUAACAUCUCUCACUUUUUUAGCUUUGUCAUUUAAUAAACUAACUGGUACAAUACCAACAUCUUUAAACAAUUUAAGAAGUUUAUCUAAACUUUACCUCGAGGAAAACAGUCUUUCUCGUCCUAUUCGAGAAAUGAACAACCUUACACAUUUGUAUAUGUUACAAAUAUAUUCUAAUAGAUUGUCUGGUAAUCUACCACGAGAUGUGUGCCUUGGUGGAUUACUUUCAUAUUUUUCUGUAGAUCAAAAUUAUUUCACGGGACCUAUCCCAAAAAGCUUGAAAAAUUGCAGCAGCUUGGUGAGACUCAGACUUGAGAGAAACCAACUUUGUGGAAACAUAUCUCAAGCUUUUGGCAAACAUCCCAAUUUGUACUACAUGGAUUUGAGUGAUAAUGAAUUGCAUGGUGAACUUUCAUGGAAAUGGGAGCAGUUUAGCAAUCUGACAACAUUCAGAAUUUCUGGAAACAAAAUAUCUGGAGAAAUACCAGCUGCUCUUGGAAAGGCAACUCGUCUACAAGCUCUUGACCUCUCGUCAAAUCAACUACUUGGGAGAAUUCCAAAGGAAUUGGGGAAUUUAAAGUUCAUUGAACUUGCACUCAACGAUAACAAGCUUUCAGGUGGUAUUCCUUUCGAUGUCGCAUCGCUAUCUGAUCUGGAAAGGCUUGGCCUAGCCGCGAACAAUUUUAGCGCAACAAUUCUUAAACAGCUUGGCAAGUGCUCAAAACUGAUAUUCUUAAAUAUCAACAAGAAUAGAUUGACAGGGAGUAUUCCUGCUGAGAUGGGGUCUUUAGUACAGUCUCUUGAAAGUCUUGAUCUCAGUUGGAAUUCCCUGAUGGGAGGUAUAGCACCGGAGCUUGGACAGCUGCAACGGCUAGAGGUUUUAAACCUCUCCCAUAAUAUGCUGUCUGGCCGAAUUCCAACCAGUUUUAGUAGACUGCAAGGCCUCACUAAAGUGGAUGUAUCCUAUAACAAGCUAGAGGGCCCCAUUCCUGACGUCAAAGCCUUUCGCGAGGCACCAUUUGAAGCAAUUCGCAACAACACCAACCUGUGUGGCAAUGCAACUGGUUUGGAGGCUUGUUCUGCUCUCAUGAAAAACAAAACUGUGCACAAGAAGGGCCCCAAAGUUGUCUUUUUGACAGUAUUUUCUCUGCUGGGUAGUUUGUUGGGCCUGAUUGUAGGUUUUCUUAUCUUUUUCCAAAGCAGAAGAAAGAAAAGGUUAGUGGAAACACCACAAAGAGAUGUUACCGCGAGAUGGUGCCCUGGUGGGGAUCUGCGCUACGAGGACAUCAUUGAGGCUACUGAGGAAUUCGACUCCAAAUAUUGCAUUGGUACUGGAGGGUAUGGAGUUGUAUACAAAGCUGUACUUCCAUCAGAACAAGUCCUUGCCGUGAAGAAAUUCCACCAAACACCAGAAGUGAGAUGAGCAGCUUGAAAGCUUUUAGAAGCGAGAUUGAUGUCUUAAUGGGUAUACGGCAUCGAAACAUUGUGAAGCUGUAUGGUUUCUGCUCGCAUGCCAAACACUCAUUUUUGGUAUAUGAAUUUGUGGAAAGGGGAAGUUUAAGAAAGGUACUGAACGACGAGGAACAAGCAGGAAAGAUGGAUUGGGAUAAAAGGAUGAAUCUUAUCAAAGGCGUAGCCAAUGCUUUAUCCUACAUGCACCAUGACUGCUCCCCUCCGAUUAUUCAUAGAGACAUUUCCAGCAACAAUGUUCUUUUGGAUUCAGAAUAUGAGGCUCAUGUCUCUGACUUCGGCACAGCAAGGCUCUUAAUGCCUGACUCGUCCAAUUGGACAUCAUUUGCUGGCACCUUUGGGUACACAGCUCCAGGUAUGUAGUUAAGUUUCAAUAUCACUUGAAAACAAAAUAG
RNAcentral lists this long non-coding RNA (17532 nucleotides) under Populus tremula. RNAcentral describes it as "long non-coding RNA (PTRE_LNC001028)". The record is from RNAcentral. Lineage: Eukaryota; Viridiplantae; Streptophyta; Magnoliopsida; Malpighiales; Salicaceae.